GUCAUGGUACCUUUCUAUCCCAAAUUCAUGUAUUUAGUUUUGGUGUUAUAUUUAUUAUACUCAUCGGAUUUUGUCUAAUGCUUAGUUCGUUUCUAUGUGUGUUACAUUUUAAUGUUGUGUCGUUGUUCUCCUCUUAUAUUUAAUGCGUUUCCCUCAGUUUUAGUUUGUAACCCGGAUUUGUUUUCUUUCUUUUGAUUUAUGAGUUUCGUACGCACGAAAUUAUUAAGUAUUGAGUUACUGAGCAUCAUUCUGGUUUAAGUACUUUGUUCAAAAUGAAAUCUGAUAUUUAUAAGAUCACAUAAAAAAUGUUUUAGUGUAAAAACAUGUGAACAUAUUGCACUCAUUAUUAUCUAAGACU
This 358-nucleotide long non-coding RNA is filed under the name Mytilus galloprovincialis (Mediterranean mussel). Lineage: Eukaryota; Metazoa; Mollusca; Bivalvia; Mytilida; Mytilidae. The record is from RNAcentral.